Jejuia pallidilutea is the source of this 173-nucleotide non-coding RNA. The record is from Rfam. NCBI's taxonomy places the organism in Bacteria, Pseudomonadati, Bacteroidota, Flavobacteriia, Flavobacteriales, Flavobacteriaceae.
GGAUAGCCCCGCGUUAGGGAUUGCAGUGGCAUCCUUUUUUGAGCUGACAAACAAGCCCGUCAUUACGAGGCGGUACGACGAAGUAAUCUCUAGGAAUUAGGAGAUUGCUUCGGUAAACUCGCAAUGACGCUGAGGUUAAGACAAAAAAGAUAUAGCGGAAAGCCCGACCCGAC